Molecule: transfer RNA, 72 nt
Filed under: Bos taurus (domestic cattle)
Lineage: Eukaryota; Metazoa; Chordata; Mammalia; Artiodactyla; Bovidae
Also listed under: 5 other names
Rfam family: tRNA
About the family: Transfer RNA (tRNA) molecules are approximately 80 nucleotides in length. Their secondary structure includes four short double-helical elements and three loops (D, anti-codon, and T loops).
Source: Rfam by way of RNAcentral
CCCUGGGUGGUCUAACGCUUAAGACUCUGACUGCCAAUACAGGGAACACAGGCUCAAUUCCUGAUUCAGGAA